This 2342-nucleotide long non-coding RNA is filed under the name Xyrichtys novacula (pearly razorfish). Lineage: Eukaryota; Metazoa; Chordata; Actinopteri; Labriformes; Labridae. The record is from RNAcentral.
UUUCAAUGUGUUUAUAUUUGCAUUUGCAAGUUUACAUGUUUAUAUAACUUCAAAAUUUUAAUGUUUUUUGAUAAAUGUUUUAUAUGUUGAUGUUUAUCUCCCUCUUUCACUCUCUGUCUUCCUGCCCCCCCCCCCCCCCCCUCUCUCUCUCUGUCGCUCGACCUCCACAGAGCUCUCUCACUGUCACUUCCUGCCGUGUUCUGAUUGGACUGUUUCAUCUUUGGCCCCACCCCUUGUGACAGAUCGUGAUGUCAAACAUUAACGUGUCUCUGGAAAACCCCUACGGGGAGGUGCAGAUCCCCCGGGCUAAGCUCCGCCCCUCUGAUGAUGCCAUGGUGAUCGCCAAUCCGAUGACUCUAAACAGUGACAAUGGGAACCCGUACGGCGUAUCAAGCUCCGCCCCUCCACCAUAUAUGGUGAAGGAAGCAGGGGGGGAGGGGGAGGAGGGGGGGAGGUGUCGGGUGUGCUGCUACCGCUGUAGGAGGAGGAAGUGAUAUCACUGCGGCGGGAGGAAUGUGAUUGGCUCAGACUUAUUUAUUUACUGCUGAUGAAUUUCCUUCGCUCUGAGGGAACAGUGAAGGAAACAACAAGUGAAGGAAACGAGGAGGCAACGAGGGAAGGAGGAAGUGAGAAAAAAGGAUAAAGCAAAUCACAAAAGGAAAGGAGAGAAGGAGAAGAAACAAAGGCAGGACACAACAAGUCAAUGAAAAAGCAAAAAAAAAAAAACUGAGUUAAAAUCUUUUCAAAUGACAAAACACCAUCUUAGCGAGGUCAUGUGACCUGAUCUGGGUUAGGAGGGUCAGUAGAGAGCUGUUACCAAUCAAAUCCAUUAAAGAGUUCGUAAUGUAAACGCAUGUUUUUGAGGAGAUUAAAGCUCCCCAUGGUCAUGAGAGGGGAGUUUUAAUAAUGUUAAUAUUUUUAUAUAAACAUUGUUAAACAUUUAUCGGAUCAUUAAAACUCUGACUGAACGCCAUGUUCAUGUUUUUUUUAUAAACAAUAAAAAUGCGUCACGUACAGAUUCUGAUCCAAAUUCGCUCAUUAGGAAAGAGUUUGUAUUCCAAUGUAGAGGGGGGGGGGGUUAUGCUGAUCAUUAUUCUGAAUUGCGUCCAUGUAAACGCUUUUUCCGAUCAUGACUCUCUGUUGGGGCAAAGCUAAACUGACUGCACAUGUGACCCAGACGCUAACUUGACGCAUUUCCGCCAUUAAUGACGAAACGUAAAGAUGGUGGGAUCCAGGAGCGACUGUCUGUCUGACAGAACUUUGUUAAAGUCCAGCCUCCUCAUGUGACGCAGGAUCAGGAUGUGCUGCUGGACCUGCCUGAUAAGCAUGAACUGGGCUCAGGUUGUUCUAAGUGAUGGGGAAACUCCUGAACCGAAUGACGUAAGCCUCGACUGCGUUUGUUGGUUUGUUGGCAGGACAGGCGUAAAUACAACUCUUUUUCUUCUUCUUCCUUUUCUUCUUCUGUGGUUGUUUUAGCAAAGUUUGAGAACUCUUCACGUGUCCAAAUGUUUCUAAUCUGAAUUAAACUUGGUGCUCGUAAACGAGCGUCAUGAUCGAAUCGUUGGGUUUCACGCCCAUUUUCACGGUGGAUUCGGAUUUUACGAUCCUUCAAAAUUUUAAUCGGAUUAAGAAAUUUCACAGAUGUAAACAUGGCUGAUGUGUAAAGGGGAGGUGUCGUCUCUUAAUGACCUCCAGAAAGCAGAGGGAGGGUCGGCGCUGACAGGAAGUCCUUCUUCUGUGAGGGUAACCAUGAGGUCUGACGCAGAGUGGAGGGGGAGGAGUCAGCUGGAACAGACGGUCAAGGGUUUUUUAUGAUUGGAUAUCCGACUGUCUAAAAACACGUUUGUUUUUUUUUCGAUCACUCGCUCAUCUUCAGGAUGAAAUAAGAGUUCUCACUUUGUCCACAGGGGGGCGCCAAACUGACGAUCAAAGGUCGUCACAGGAGCUUUAAUGAAUCGAAUCAGACACUGAGUCUGUUAUUAUGAUUGAUAUGAACUGAUAUUAUGAAUGAGUGAACGAAGAUGAAGGAGUUAAUCUGAAAAUUGCUGUGAUACUUGAUUAAAUCUGUACUCACUGUGAUAAAAGUCUUCAAGUCUGUUUGUUUGGGUUUUUCAACAUUAUUUAUGUAAAGUUAUGACAAUAUUAAUAAUUUAUGAAUGAAUAAUCUGAUCUGUUUUUGUUCCACAUGGUGACGCCUGUCAGGAGGAGUUUGUAUUUUACAUAAAGUAUUUUUAUAUUUUCAUAACCAGGACUGGAGUUUGAAGGAGAUUUAAUAAGAGACUUUAAAUAAAAACAGUAAAUCAACAUGAACCUGCUUGAACGGAAUUAUCUUCAAAAUUAAG